AGUUCAGUGGUAAUGACCCCAACUGGUAUCCAUGAGGAUAUGGGUUUCAAUCCCUGCCCUUGCUCAGUGGGUUAAGGAUCUGGUGUUGCUCUGAGCUGUGGUGUACGUCGCAGACAUGGCUUGGGGAUCCCGCAUUGCCGUAGCUGUGGCUCAGGCCGGCAGCUACAGCUCUGAUUCGACCCCUAGCCUGGGAACUUUUUUCCAUGGGUUGAAAAAAUAAGGAGCCGACUUUCAUGGGAUGGUUGAAGGAAAAAAGAAAUAAAGAAUCAAAGAGACAGAGAAGGGGGUGGGGCUAUGGAAACCAGGAGGAGAGUUCCACCAGUGGAAGUGGUCGUUGCUGCUGUUUGUGGAGGAAAAGCCAAAAUGAGGGGAAUACAUGACCCCAAACUGUUAAUGUUCUGUCCCCAGCUCCUACCCAUUUUUAUUCUGCUAUUUUUUAUCUUUGGAGCCUCUAGAGGGAGCAGAAGACAGCUCUGGUCUGUCUGGAAUGACUGUCCCUGAUCCCUUUAGGGGAGGAAACCAAGUAGCCAGUGGGCCAGGAGGAUCCCAUCCAGGAUGUCAGUUAGUGCCUGGCAGUUCCUUUGGCCUCAGCCUUCCACUCUCAAACAUGUCCUGGUUUGGACAAGAAAAUCUGUGUUCACUCCAUCUGUAGGUCAUAUUUUGUCCGCUUUUUAAUUUUCCCAAGAAGUUGUUAUACACACACUAGCUCCUGCACACACCUGCCAUGUUUUCCAGAAUGCAGGGGUGGGGGGGCUUGGCAGCUCAGCCACGGUUCUGGUGGGGACCCUCGGCCCUCGAGUAGGCAGAGUCAACAACGGGAGUAAGAAUGAGUGUGUGUGCGUGUGUAUGUGUGUGUGAGUAUUGUGGGGUGCAAGUGGUACCUGUAAGGUACAUGUGUGAGUGGUGUGUAUAUGUGGUGUCUGGGCAUGUCUGUGUGGGUGUGUGUGUGUGGUGGAUGUGAUGUGAUGUGGGGGGGGAUUGUGGUAGAUGUGAGCUGGGCACCUCGGGCACAUGUGAGUGGUGUGGGCAUGUGUGCAGGUAUGGUGCCUGGAUGGACGGGUAAGGGUGUUUGUUUCCGUGUGUGGUGCACAUGGUGUACAAUGUGCCUGUGACUGGAUGUGAAGAUGGGCCAUGUGUGGGGUGGGUAGAGGUGUCUCUGGCUUAUGUAUUGAGUUCUGUGUGUAUGUCUGGUCUGUGUGCUUUUGAGUGUGGGUGUCUUUGGCACAUGAGCAAAGACAUGUGGGGUGCAAACCUUUGGGUGCCUGUGGUGUGUGUGUGGUGUGGUGCAUGUGUGUGUGCAUUUGUGGAGCUUGUGGCUCAUGUGUGGGUAUCUAUGGUGUGUGUGAGAAGGUGUGUUUGUGUUUCUGUGUGACCCACCGAAGGGGAGGCCUCUGGUCCCUGGGGAAGGGAGGCCCACUGGGGACCUCAGGGGAGCCACUCUGAGAGGUGACACAGACAGGAGGGAGGGGGACACAUUCCAGGACUGGGGAGAGCAUGCCCUGGGCCACCUGCAUCUGAAGCACUUGAGGGCAGGCCUGAGCCGCAUUGUUCGCACACAGCUUGUGACGGGCACAAAGUAGGGCUGCAAGAAGGAUGUGCUGAGGGCAGCUUCACCCGGAUUGCAGCCCCUUCUCUCUGUACCACUCGCUGACACAGGGCACAGGAGAAGUGCUUCCGGCUCUGCAUUGCACACCCAGUGUCUGUGUGAGAGGAGAGGUGAGCUCCCACCUCCAGCCCUGUGUCCCCGGCGGGCCCCCGACACCACCUUCUUCUGAACACACUGCAGAGCCCCCACUCUAGGUCACGGUAUGGUUUCCGCAAUGGUCAGUGCGGCGGCAAGAUGCUGACCAUGGGGGAGGAUGGCCGGCCCGACCCAUUGCCUGGCUGUCGCCUCCUGCCCCAGCUGGGAGAGCGUUUCUCACAUUAGGUAAGGGCCACCUGACUUGCCCUGACCUUUCUCUUCCUGAGGCAAGGACAACCCAGGAAGGAACUUUUGAACACACGGUCAGGGCUAGCGCCCUUCCUCUGGAGCCGAAGAAAUGGCGAUUCCACCAGUUUGGAACUUGAUCACUUGGGUCCCAGUUCUGGUUUUGGUCUGCGUGGUCUGCAUGUUUGAUCACUUUGAGCCUCAGUUUCCACAUCCAUCAACUCUGGAGAAUAACCCUUCUGAUGCUGGCACAGAAUAUUUGCCACAAUGUAGGAAAGCACUUAGCCUAACACCAGGAACAGAGUACAGACUCAGCAAAUAAUGACAACCAUGGUUAUUAUUUCAAUCCUUAAACAGUGAGAAUUAAAAAAGUAAUAGAUGUAUCAGAAAGUGGUAGAAAUACACCAUCAGGAGUUCCCGUCGUGGUGCAGCAGAAACAAAUCCAACUGGGAACCAUGAGGGUGCGGAUUCGAUCCCUGGCCUCACUUAGUGGAUUAAGGAUCCAGCGUUUCCAUGAGCUUUGGUGUAGGUUGCAGAUGCAGCUUGGAUCUGGUGUUGCUGUGGCUCUGGCGUAGGCCGGCAGCUAUAGCUCCAAUUAGACCCCUAGCCUGGGAACCUCCACAUGCCAUGGGUGUGGCCCUAAAAGGACAAAGG
This 2581-nucleotide long non-coding RNA is filed under the name Sus scrofa (pig). RNAcentral's name for it is "lncRNA (ENSSSCG00000046655.1)". Lineage: Eukaryota; Metazoa; Chordata; Mammalia; Artiodactyla; Suidae. The record is from RNAcentral.